GACGAACGCUGGCGGCGUGCCUAACACAUGCAAGUCGUACGGGACCGGGGGCAACUCCGGUUCAGUGGCAGACGGGUGCGUAACACGUGAGGAACUUGUCCGGUGGCGGGGGAUAGCCGGCCCAACGGCCGGGUAAUACCGCAUACGCUCGUUCGGGGGCAUCCCUGGGCGAGGAAAGCAGCCGCAAGGUUGCGCCGACGGAGGGCCUCGCGACCUAUCAGCUUGUUGGCGGGGUAACGGCCCACCAAGGCUACGACGGGUAGCUGGUCUGAGAGGAUGAUCAGCCACAUUGGGACUGAGACACGGCCCAGACUCCUACGGGAGGCAGCAGUGGGGAAUAUUGCGCAAUGGCCGCAAGGCUGACGCAGCGACGCCGCGUGUGGGAUGACGGUCUUCGGAUUGUAAACCACUGUCAGGGGAACGAAUACAGGGCUUCGAUAAGGNGACCCUGGGUGACGGUACCUCCAAAGGAAGCA
Molecule: ribosomal RNA, 476 nt
Filed under: uncultured bacterium
Lineage: Bacteria
Description: bacterial SSU rRNA
Rfam family: Bacterial small subunit ribosomal RNA
Source: RNAcentral